GAUGAACGCUGGCGGCGUGCUUAAUACAUGCAAGUCGAGCGAACAGAUGAGGCGUUUGCUCCUCUGACGUUAGCCGCGCACGUGUGAGUAACACGAGGAUAAUCCACCUAUAAGACUGGGAUAAUUUCGGGAAACCGGCGCUAGUACCGGAUAAUCUCCUGAACCGCAUGGUUGAAUAGUGAAAGACGGCUUUGCUGUAACUUAUCGAUGCAUCUGCGCCGCGUUAUCUAGUUGGUAGGGUAACGGCUUUUCAAGGCAACGCUGCGUAGCCGACUUGCGAGGGUGUUCGGGCACACAGGAGCUGAGAGGCGGUACAGGCUCCGACGGGAGGCAGCAGUAGCGAAUCUACCGCGAUGGGCGGAAGCUUGACGGAGCGACGGCGCGUGAGUGAUGAAGGUCUGCGGACCGUAAAACUCUGUUAUGAGGGAAGAACGAAUGUGUAAGUAACUAUGCACGUCUUGACGGUACCGAUUCAGAAAGCCACGGCUAACUACGG
RNAcentral lists this ribosomal RNA (496 nucleotides) under uncultured bacterium. RNAcentral's name for it is "partial 16S ribosomal RNA". It matches the Rfam family "Bacterial small subunit ribosomal RNA", at positions 28 to 506 of the family's 1533-position model. The record is from RNAcentral.